GCCCGGCAUAGUCGAGCGGUGUGACGCGGCUGUUGCAGCCGGCCGGCCUUCCCCGUUCGCGCCGGGAACGAGCG
This 74-nucleotide transfer RNA is filed under the name Edaphosphingomonas haloaromaticamans. RNAcentral describes it as "Sphingomonas haloaromaticamans tRNA-Cys". Lineage: Bacteria; Pseudomonadati; Pseudomonadota; Alphaproteobacteria; Sphingomonadales; Rhizorhabdaceae. The record is from RNAcentral.